This 265-nucleotide signal recognition particle RNA is filed under the name Anaerolineae bacterium. RNAcentral describes it as "signal recognition particle sRNA large type". It matches the Rfam family "Bacterial large signal recognition particle RNA". From Rfam's summary of the family: The signal recognition particle (SRP) is a universally conserved ribonucleoprotein involved in the co-translational targeting of proteins to membranes. Lineage: Bacteria; Bacillati; Chloroflexota; Anaerolineae. The record is from RNAcentral.
UCGUGCUAAGCGGGGAGCUGGCGGUGCCCUGUACCCGCAAUCCGCCAUAGCGGGGCCUAAUUCCCCCCUCGAGGGCCUGGGUUGGGAAACUGGCCGGACUGGAAAGCGUUGAAGGCUGGGUCCUGUGCAACGGGAGCCCACGAACCCCGCCAGGCCCGGAAGGGAGCAACGGUAAGUGGUAACUCCUGGGUGCCGCAGGGGCGCCUGGCCGGAGCCCAAGGUCCGGUUAAGCCCUGGGCUUCAGGUUCGAAAGGGGGGUGCACGA